UGGCUAAGCCUCCUUGCCGGACCCCA
RNAcentral lists this non-coding RNA (26 nucleotides) under Mus musculus (house mouse). Lineage: Eukaryota; Metazoa; Chordata; Mammalia; Rodentia; Muridae. The record is from RNAcentral.